Homo sapiens (human) is the source of this 677-nucleotide long non-coding RNA. RefSeq lists it as uncharacterized. The transcript is spliced from 3 exons. The record is from RefSeq and is a predicted model, not a curated record. Lineage: Eukaryota; Metazoa; Chordata; Mammalia; Primates; Hominidae.
AGACCAGCCUAGCCAACAUGGUGAAACCCCAUCUCUUCUGAAGGUCUUCUCUAUUUCUGAAAACUGGAGAAAAGGAAGCCUCUGUAUCAAAACUCUCAAGUGUCCUAGGAAGGAAAUCAAGCAAACCAGAGUCCUGAAACAACCUGACAAUUCCAGUUCUAAAGAGAAUCGAUUACUAACAGCUAUGGCACUGGGCCCAGGAAAUAGAAGUGCUCCAACCUCUGCAAAGCCUAGAAUGAAACACACAGGGGCAAAGGGGAAGACUUCCCUGAAAAUCACUGACAAAAAUCAGAUUAAUCAGAGAAAAGGCAUAGAAUUUAUUUAUCAUGGUUUUAUGUGACAUGGGAGCCUUCAGAAUGAAAACCCAGAGACACAGGGGAAACUGUUUGCUUUUAUGCUUAGGUUCCACAAAGCAUGGACAGAUGUGUAGAAAUAUGAUUGGGCAAAAAGGAUAUGAGCUAAUGGUAAUAGACUCAGUGGGGAAACCCAGCAAAACCUCUUUUCAGGUUCUUCUUGGCCUCUGUCCAGGAUUUCUGCCUUCUGGGUAUGGGCAGGACCCUCUCUGGAAUAGAGUUUUUAUAACCUACAGUCAAACAAGGGCCUGAGAAACCUGUGGCUGAGAAGCUGCUGGCCCAGCUGGUCCUCAUCAGCCCAUAAAUACUGCAUGCAAAAAGGAU